RNAcentral lists this ribosomal RNA (253 nucleotides) under uncultured bacterium. Its description in RNAcentral is "partial 16S ribosomal RNA". It matches the Rfam family "Bacterial small subunit ribosomal RNA", at positions 524 to 776 of the family's 1533-position model. The record is from RNAcentral.
UACAGAGGGGGCAAGCGUUGUUCGGAAUUACUGGGCGUAAAGGGCGCGUAGGCGGCCUUCUAAGUCGAACGUGAAAUCCCCGGGCUCAACCCGGGAACUGCGUCCGAGACUGAAAGGCUUGAAUCCGGGAGAGGGAUGUGGAAUUCCAGGUGUAGCGGUGAAAUGCGUAGAUAUCUGGAGGAACACCGAUGGCGAAGGCGGCAUCCUGGACCGAUAUUGACGCUGAUGCGCGAAAGCCAGGGGAGCAAACGGG